RNAcentral lists this ribosomal RNA (253 nucleotides) under uncultured bacterium. Its description in RNAcentral is "partial 16S ribosomal RNA". It matches the Rfam family "Bacterial small subunit ribosomal RNA", at positions 524 to 776 of the family's 1533-position model. The record is from RNAcentral.
UACGUAGGCAGCAAGCGUUGUUCGGAAUUACUGGGCGUAAAGAGUGUGUAGGCGGUGCUCUAAGUCUGUUGUGAAAUCUCCCGGCUUAACUGGGAGGGUGCGGCGGAAACUGGAGUGCUCGAGGGUGGGAGAGGUGAAGCGGAAUCCUGGUGUAGCGGUGAAAUGCGUAGAUAUCAGGAGGAACACCUGUGGUGUAGACAGCUUACUGGACCACUUCUGACGCUGAGACACGAAAGCGUGGGUAGCAAACAGG